AUUGAACGCUAGCGGGAUGCUUUACACAUGCAAGUCGAACGGAGUGGCGGACGGGUGAGUAAUGUAUCGGAAUGUGCCCAGUAGCGGGGGAUAACUACUCGAAAGAGUGGCUAAUACCGCAUACUCUUGGAGCGGCCGAUAUCGGAUUAGCUAGUUGGUGGGGUAAAGGCUCACCAAGGCAACGAUCCGUAGCUGGUUUGAGAGGACGACCAGCCACACGGGGACUGAGGCACGGCCCAGACUCCUACGGGAGGCAGCAGUGGGGAAUGUUGGACAAUGGGGGAAAGCCUGAUGCAGCCAUCCCGCGUGGAUGAUGAAGGCCUUCGGGUUGUAAAGUACUUUUGGCAGGGAGGCGGUAUCGGCAGAAUAAGCACCGGCUAACUACGUGCCAGCAGCCGCGGUAAUUC
Molecule: ribosomal RNA, 407 nt
Filed under: uncultured bacterium
Lineage: Bacteria
Description: partial 16S ribosomal RNA
Rfam family: Bacterial small subunit ribosomal RNA
Source: RNAcentral